Molecule: ribosomal RNA, 253 nt
Filed under: uncultured bacterium
Lineage: Bacteria
Description: partial 16S ribosomal RNA
Rfam family: Bacterial small subunit ribosomal RNA
Source: RNAcentral
UACGUAGGGUGCAAGCGUUGUCCGGAAUUAUUGGGCGUAAAGAGCUCGUAGGCGGUUUGUCGCGUCUGCUGUGAAAACCUAAGGCUCAACCUUGGGCUUGCAGUGGGUACGGGCAGACUAGAGUGCGGUAGGGGUGACUGGAAUUCCUGGUGUAGCGGUGAAAUGCGCAGAUAUCAGGAGGAACACCGGUGGCGAAGGCGGUGGUCUGGGCCGGCACUGACGCUGAGGAGCGAAAGCGUGGGUAGCAAACAGG